Molecule: ribosomal RNA, 466 nt
Filed under: uncultured bacterium
Lineage: Bacteria
Description: partial 16S ribosomal RNA
Rfam family: Bacterial small subunit ribosomal RNA
Source: RNAcentral
GAUGAACGCUGGCGGCGUGCUUAACACAUGCAAGUCGAACGGAAAGGCUCCUGCUUGCAGGGGUACUCGAGUGGCGAACGGGUGAGUAACACGUGGGUGAUCUGCCCUGCACUUCGGGAUAAGCCUGGGAAACUGGGUCUAAUACCGGAUAGGACGAUGGUUUGGAUGCCAUUGUGGAAAGUUUUUUCGGUGUGGGAUGAGCUCGCGGCCUAUCAGCUUGUUGGUGGGGUAAUGGCCUACCAAGGCGUCGACGGGUAGCCGGCCUGAGAGGGUGUACGGCCACAUUGGGACUGAGAUACGGCCCAGACUCCUACGGGAGGUAGCAGUGGGGAAUAUUGCACAAUGGGCGCAAGCCUGAUGCAGCGACGCCGCGUGGGGGAUGACGGCCUUCGGGUUGUAAACUCCUUUCGCUAGGGACGAAGCGCAAGUGACGGUACCUGGAGAAGAAGCACCGGCUAACUACGUG